GCAGUGUCUUUAUGAUGUAAUGGGCCUGUGCUGGCAGAGCUGAAAUUGCUCACUUUGGGGAGGGGCAGGAACUCUUCCAGGCCAUUACGGUCCACUAAGUAAGUUGCCUUUGCCAAGGUGAAAUGGUUCCCUCGUGACUUGAAAACUGAACUAUCAUCUACCGUUUCAUAAAGCAUUUCAGUGCCCUGGGCCAUGACCUUCCUCUUCCCUCUCCAUGAAACAUCUGCAGCAGGGCUGCCAUACUUCAGGCCAAAAGACUGGCAGAACAGCAGUAUCUCAGGAGGGUGGGAGUUCAUGCCAGAGGAGGCUGGGGCAAGGGGAGGGUGGAGAAGAGAUGACCUGGAGCUACAGGAGGGGCCUCAAGGUUCAGACAGAGAGGACCCUAGCCCUGGCUCCAGUCUGGGCAUUUCUUGAUUCCAGCCAUCCACUGAAUCACCUACAGGAAGUCAGCUCACAAUUCUGGCCCUCAGAUUUCUCAUAUACAAAGUGAGAAGGUAAUUGCCAAGUUCAUAGUCAGCUCUGAAAUGCCAUGAUGAUAAAAAGAAGAAGAAACUGCGUGGGGCUUUUGUAAUGGCUGGGGCGGCUCGCGGCUGGGCUGUGAUCAUCCGUCUCUGUUUCCAGUCUGGAAGCCCCCUCAGCUGACAUUAUCGCCGCGGGACAGACCAAGACCUAGAUGAGGUUUUCAUCCAGGCAGCAAAAACAAAACAAAUGAAGCAGGCUGAUUAUUUUUACGUGGAGCUUGGAGGCCCAGAGGAAAAAGGUUUUUGAGCAUAAAUCUUGAGUGCUAAAGAGAUGCCGUCCAUCAGCCAGAAUCAAAGGGGACAAAGAACUCUGAACCCAGAACACACAGUUCCAGACAUCAUCCCAACCAAA
Molecule: long non-coding RNA, 873 nt
Organism: Bubalus bubalis (water buffalo)
Lineage: Eukaryota; Metazoa; Chordata; Mammalia; Artiodactyla; Bovidae
Exons: 2
Source: RefSeq, a predicted model, not a curated record